CAAACCCGUCUUCAGACACCACCUUCCCGGUAUUUUUGUCGCUGAAAUUAUUCCCCAGUUUCACCAUUUUCUCUGCAGCAAAAAAAAACCCGACCUGAGGGGGGUAAACAUCAGCACAAUCCCACGGAACGACGAGAGGCCCCUUGUGGCCCAAGAGGAAGCCCGUUAACACACAAAAGCGCAGGAGAGGACGCGCGCGGCUUCGACAUAAAGGGACCGAUGUGUAACCGCGAGCCGGAAUAGAUCUGAUUUCCCGCAUCCGAAUACUUACCAGCUCAGCAGAGAAGCGUUUUGGAAAACAGCGUGUUUCUCCUGGUGUGCUGAAUAUGUUGUCCAGUGCAGCGAUAUAUUUUUUGUGUUGUAGGUGUGACGCAGCCGAUUUGCGGGGAUCUGGUGCACAAUAUGGCCAGCUGGCUGUUACCUCCGAGCUGGAUGCUGCUGCUGGCGUCUGGCUGCACUGCAAGUGAUGUAACAUCCUCAGCGCGUCCAUCCAGCCACACGCCUCUGAUCCGCUGAAUAAUCACUGAAUGCGAUUAACACUCAUGUUCCAAAUGUAUAGAAUGCUUUAUUAUUAUUAUUAUUAUUAUAAUUAGAGGAAUUCGAGUUACCCUAAAACCAAUAGAGGGCUGGAGGGAUGUUUAUCGACAAUUGAGAGUCAGUAGGGUUCAUUAGGAAGUGUCUCCUAUAAAAUACAUACUUUCAUACAAAUAAUGAUGAUGAUACUUAAAAUGAAACUUGGCAUUAAAUCUAAAAUGAAAUGAAUGAAACAUGUAUUGCUCUCUCUUUAUACUCUGUACAGGAGGAACACAGAUCUAUAUAUUUCGGGGGGUGGGGGUGGGGGUUGUGGUGGAGGCAGCAGGUCUAUGAGCCAAGAUGGUAUUUUCUGUAGUUGUUUACAUUUGAAUGCAAAAUCUGUUCAGCUGUUAAAAUGAAGGUAAACAAACAACCCAGCUGUCACAUGAUGUGAUUUCAUCUUUCUCUAAGGCAUCAAUACAUAUAAUCUCAUUAUAAUCUCAUGUAUGUUCAGUGCUCAUUUGAAUGUUUUUAGAAAUAUGUUUUAAAAUAAAUUGAUCUGGACAUGUGCAGGA
Molecule: long non-coding RNA, 1088 nt
Organism: Gasterosteus aculeatus aculeatus (three-spined stickleback)
Lineage: Eukaryota; Metazoa; Chordata; Actinopteri; Perciformes; Gasterosteidae
Source: RefSeq, a predicted model, not a curated record